This is a non-coding RNA of Danio rerio (zebrafish), 333 nucleotides long. NCBI's taxonomy places the organism in Eukaryota, Metazoa, Chordata, Actinopteri, Cypriniformes, Danionidae. The record is from Ensembl.
CUAAUAAAUUGUUAUGUUUUGAAUUAUUCAAACUAGAGUUCGUGUUAUUAUCUCUAGUAGAUUGUGGUAAUUUCAUAACACCACAAGCCCCUGUACAGGUUAGUAGCGGACUAAAACACGGUAGACGGAGCAUUGCGGCACACUAUACGAUGUCUUUAGAGCUUCGACUAACACAUUGGCAUUAAUUCAUGUAUACUUAGACUGUAAAAGGAUAUCUUAGGGGAUAGUCCUUCGCCUGUUAAACUUAUAAUACUAUUUAGAUAGUAUAGUGAUUAUUCAAAGUUACUAAUAGUUUAAAUACGACUGGUCUGCUUAAUUCUAUAGAAAUUAUCA